This is a long non-coding RNA of Rhipicephalus microplus (southern cattle tick), 230 nucleotides long. Lineage: Eukaryota; Metazoa; Arthropoda; Arachnida; Ixodida; Ixodidae. The record is from RefSeq and is a predicted model, not a curated record.
GAAAGAGAUUUUGUCCUGGACUACGUGGUAGCGUUUUCCGAGUACAAUAACUGUGACAUUCUGAGGCUACCGCAUCGUAAUGAUGCCUGUGAACUUUGGGCAAAAGCAGGUGCCGUCGACAAAGUGAAGUCACACUGCUUUUUCAUAUUUCACUUGCUCUGUGGACCAGAAAAGCACAUCGUGUAUGACAAAGAUUUAUGCGAAAAUAAAUAACUACCUGCCCGCCACUC